This 2172-nucleotide long non-coding RNA is filed under the name Pan troglodytes (chimpanzee). RNAcentral's name for it is "lincRNA". The record is from RNAcentral. Lineage: Eukaryota; Metazoa; Chordata; Mammalia; Primates; Hominidae.
GAGCUUCUCAGAACUGAAGGUGAAAGAGGUGAGUUAGAGCACCCUAAAUUACAGUGGCAUCGCAGUGCCCUGGGAGGUCGGAAUUUCUGGACUGUUCCCAGUGAGCUGGCUGCUCUGGCCUCCCAAAGAUGUAUGGGCUCCCGCACUCUCUGGAGGGGACGCACUGCUUAUUUCUUCAGCCUACAUCCUAGAUUCCAAUUGCUUUUGCAGGUGGAAAGCACUGAGCAGUGAGGCCUUGAUGGUCAGAUUUUCCAUUCAAAGACGGAAAGGCAUGAGCUAUGACAUUUUAAGAAAAUAUUAUUUCCUCACUCAGCAGCUUCACAUGCUUUUCAAGAUGGAAAACAAUGAAAGAAGCAGAGCUAGUCACAGGAGUCUGCUCCUUUCAAAUUCAUCUCACAGCACAGGUUUCCAGUAAGAGGAGAACUCUUUUUAAGAUUGACGGACAGAAGAAAUCAACUUUCCAUGAACUCAUUAAAAAACAACAACAACCAUAAAUUGUUUAGACUGGGUGCGGGUGGCUCACGCCUGUAAUCCCAGCACUUGGUGAGGCCAAGGUGGGUGAAUUGGUUGAGCCCAGGGGUUCAAGACCAGCCCGGCCAACAUGGUGAAACCCAUCUCUACAAAAAAUUCAAAACUUAGCCAGGCUUGGUGGCACAUGCCUGAAGUCCCAGCUACUUGGGAGGCUGAGACAGGAAGAUUGUUUGAGCCUGGGAGGCAGAGAUUGCAGUAAACCAAGAUAGCAUCACUGCACUCCAGCCUGGGCAACAGAAUGAAAAGCAUUCAAUUGUGCAGUGAAAUCCUGCUUUGAAGAUAGAUGGAAAGAGCACUGGGAGAUGUUCCGGUGGUGGUCCUGGCCACAACAGUGCUGCCCUCCAGCAAGCCUGGGUCGGGCACCUCUGUCUCCUCCCAUACAGGAACAGAAUUUACACUCAGCCCUGGUAACCAGUCUAUCGGUCAGUACCAGCCUCAGGAAAACUUUAGAGUUAUGCUUGCGAGAGCACUAACUGUUACAAGGAGGGUGAGAUCUGGAGUUCCAGAAAAAUAAGAGAGAAUCUUGCAUCUGGAGCAUAAAUGAUCUUCAAGAAAUACACACAGGAAGUUGAACAGGUGUAUAAACUUCGGAGAAGCUCUCUGGUCUCUCAAAAAUCCCUGUGAAUAUCUCAGAGCAGCUGGGAUGCCUCAUUAUCCCCGGAUGCCUAAUUCAUUCUCAUUAUUGUGACUUCAAUCUUUAGUAUCUCAACAAAUAUGGAUAUCCAGCCACUUCUCAACCCCAAAUUCUCAAGAAAAAGUGGGAUCAUGAGCUGCAUAUUUGAUCCAAUGAAGCUUUGUCAAGUCCUGGGAGUGUCAUCUUCCUAUUUUAGAUAUAACUGUGGCCAAAAUAUUUAUCUACCACAUAGCUCAUAUUUUCCUUCUCCAAGAAUACAACAGUUGCCCUGAUUAAUAUCUCUUUUGAAAAACUCUAAAAUGCCAGCUACUCACUGUUUCCAAUUACUCGAAGGAAAGCUAACUUCCAGAGAGUCUAUCUGCAUGUAAUUAUUUCAAAUAUUUCUAAGUACUUGGGAGGAACAGCUCUUGAAAUUUGAGUCUCUGAUCACCAGUAUAUGAAUUCAAGUGCCUUUGGGACAUAAAGAAAACAAGAGUGUUCAUUUGAAGGAGGGAGGGUAGGAAAAAUAGAAGGAAGUGUAGUGUUUAGAUUCACUGGUUUGGAAAGACUUUAAAAAUAUUUAUAUCAGUAUUGAGGAUUUGUGUAUGUUUUAUUUCUUGUCAUGGCUUUGAAGAAGUUACAUGUAUAUCCUCAAAGAUUUUAAGUAUUAUUUCAUAGAGAACAUGGUACUAUUUAUAAAUACAAAUGUAUGAGAUGACUUUUAAUUUUGUUUUAUUUUUGCUGCAUCUCUUUGACUGCAUUUUUUUAAACUUGAUUUCUUCUAAACCUUGUGAGCACGCUAAUAAUACAGGACAGUGGUUUAUGGGACUUCUCUGAAAUGACAUCUGGAAAACCAAUUAAUGAUAUCUCAGGUUGAGCAAGUAUCCAUGCUGUGGUUCAGAUGUAUCCUAGUCUCCUGAUAAAGUUAAUAUACAGGUUUAAAGUACAAUAAUAAUAAUUAAUAAUAACAAUAUAGCUAUGCUAUAUGGAUCCUGAAAAAAUAAAAGAAAUAGAAAGUUCUCCUUCCU